Molecule: ribosomal RNA, 602 nt
Filed under: Alphaproteobacteria bacterium
Lineage: Bacteria; Pseudomonadati; Pseudomonadota; Alphaproteobacteria
Description: bacterial SSU rRNA
Rfam family: Bacterial small subunit ribosomal RNA
Source: RNAcentral
GCGGUGGAGCAUGUGGUUUAAUUCGACGCAACGCGCAGAACCUUACCAGGGUUUGACAUCCUGCGACCGCUGGAGAGAUCCAGUUUUCCCGCAAGGGACGCCGAGACAGGUCCUGCAUGGUUGUCGCCAGCUCGUGUCGUGAGAUGUUGGGUUAAGUCCCGCAACGAGCGCAACCCUCGCCUUUAGUUGCCAUCAUUAAGUUGGGCACUCUAGAGGGACCGCCGGCGGCAAGCCGGAGGAAGGUGGGGAUGACGUCAAGUCCUCAUGGCCCUUACACCCUGGGCUAUACACGUGCUACAAUGGCGGUGACAGUGGGCAGCUACUUCGCGAGAAGCGGCUAAUCCCAAAAAACCGUCCCAGUUCAGAUUGUACUCUGCAACUCGAGUGCAUGAAGGUGGAAUCGCUAGUAAUCGCAGAACAGCAGGCUGCGGUGAAUACGUUCCCGGGCCUUGUACACACCGCCCGUCACGGCAUGGGAGUUGGUUUUACCCGAAGACGGUGCGCUAACCGCAAGGAGGCAGCCGGCCACGGUAGGAUCAGCGACUGGGCCGAAGUCGUAACAAGGUAGCCGUAGGGGAACCUGCGGCUGGAUCACCUCCUUU